UGGGUUCAGAACGUCGUGAGACAGUUCGGUCUCUAUCCGCCGCGGGCGCAGGAGGCUUGAGAGGAUCUGAUCGAAGUACGAGAGGAGCCGGUUGGACGGACCUCUAGUGUGCGAGUUGUCGCGCCAGCGGCAUUGCUCGGUAGCUAUGUCCGGAUGGGAUAAGCGCUGAAAGCAUCUAAGUGCGAAGCCCACCUCAAGAUGAGGCCUCCCACUGGAUUAACCAGGUAAGACCCCAGCGAGAUGAGCUGGUUGAUAGGCGGCAUGUGUAAGCGGUGAGAGCCGUUGAGCAGAGCCGUACUAACGGUCGAGGGCUUAGAAUUU
RNAcentral lists this ribosomal RNA (321 nucleotides) under Chloroflexota bacterium. Its description in RNAcentral is "partial 23S ribosomal RNA". It matches the Rfam family "Bacterial large subunit ribosomal RNA", at positions 2606 to 2925 of the family's 2925-position model. Lineage: Bacteria; Bacillati; Chloroflexota. The record is from RNAcentral.